This 113-nucleotide small nuclear RNA is filed under the name Myotis davidii. RNAcentral's name for it is "U2 spliceosomal RNA". It matches the Rfam family "U2 spliceosomal RNA". From Rfam's summary of the family: U2 is a small nuclear RNA (snRNA) component of the spliceosome (involved in pre-mRNA splicing). Complementary binding between U2 snRNA (in an area lying towards the 5' end but 3' to hairpin I) and the branchpoint sequence (BPS) of the intron results the bulging out of an unpaired adenosine, on the BPS, which initiates a nucleophilic attack at the intronic 5' splice site, thus starting the first of two transesterification reactions that mediate splicing. Lineage: Eukaryota; Metazoa; Chordata; Mammalia; Chiroptera; Vespertilionidae. The record is from Rfam by way of RNAcentral.
AUCGCUUCUCGGCCUUUUGGCUAAGAUCAAGUGUAGUAUCUGUUCUUAUCAGUUUAAUAUUUAUGGAGGCAGAGAAAUUCCAUGAUCUGCCUUCUAUAAGCUCAAAACCCAAA